CAGAACAUAGCUUAACCUAAAGCCCCUCGUUUACACCGAACUGCUGUCUUCUAAACUAGACUGUUCUGAG
Molecule: transfer RNA, 70 nt
Filed under: Pristimantis walkeri (Walker's robber frog)
Lineage: Eukaryota; Metazoa; Chordata; Amphibia; Anura; Strabomantidae
Description: tRNA-Val
Source: RNAcentral